CGUGUAAUUCGCAAGGAAAAUAGUCAUGUUGAAGUAACUACGUCAAGAAAAACUCUACAUCUUUAUUUAUGUAUAUUCGUGACCUCGAGACUGCUAUUAUGCAGAAAUAUUCUAAAUAAGGAAAGGUGCAUAUUAUUGUACCCUUGAAUAUACAUUAUGUUUUGGGUUACAAGGUUUAGAAACAAAAGAGCUAUAAGUAGAUUUCUAUUGCUGUUUCUUGUAGCCUUCAGCUAGAACUAUAAGAUUAAAUUUUUGCUAAUGUCCUUUGCUAUAAACAUAUGAACGUG
Molecule: unclassified non-coding RNA, 287 nt
Filed under: Bombus terrestris (buff-tailed bumblebee)
Lineage: Eukaryota; Metazoa; Arthropoda; Insecta; Hymenoptera; Apidae
Description: misc RNA ENSBTSG00005036926.1
Source: RNAcentral